This 831-nucleotide ribosomal RNA is filed under the name uncultured bacterium. RNAcentral describes it as "bacterial SSU rRNA". It matches the Rfam family "Bacterial small subunit ribosomal RNA", at positions 65 to 892 of the family's 1533-position model. The record is from RNAcentral.
AACGGCAGCACGGGGGCAACCCUGGUGGCGAGUGGCGAACGGGUGAGGAAUACAUCGGAACGUGUCUUCAAGUGGGGGAUAACGCAUCGAAAGGUGUGCUAAUACCGCAUAAUCUCUGAGGAGAAAAGCAGGGGAUCGUAAGACCUUGCGCUUUUGGAGCGGCCGAUGUCUGAUUAGCUUGUUGGUAAGGUAAAAGCUUACCAAGGCUUCGAUCAGUAGCUGGUCUGAGAGGACGACCAGCCACACUGGGACUGAGACACGGCCCAGACUCCUACGGGAGGCAGCAGUGGGGAAUUUUGGACAAUGGGGGCAACCCUGAUCCAGCCAUGCCGCGUGAGUGAAGAAGGCCUUCGGGUUGUAAAGCUCUUUCAGCCGGAACGAAACGGUUACGGUUAAUACCCGUAACUACUGACGGUACCGGAAGAAGAAGCACCGGCUAACUACGUGCCAGCAGCCGCGGUAAUACGUAAGGUGCGAGCGUUAAUCGGAAUUACUGGGCGUAAAGCGUGCGCAGGUGGCUUUGUAAGUCAGAUGUGAAAUCCCCGGGCUUAACCUGGGAACUGCGUUUGAAACUACAAGGCUAGAGUGUGGCAGAGGGGGGUGGAAUUCCGCGUGUAGCAGUGAAAUGCGUAGAGAUGUGGAGGAACACCGAUGGCGAAGGCAGCCCCCUGGGUCAACACUGACGCUCAGGCACGAAAGCAUGGGGAGCAAACAGGAUUAGAUACCCUGGUAGUCCAUGCCCUAAACGAUGUCAACUAGUUGUCGGGCCUUAACGGGCUUGGUAACGUAGCUAACGCGUGAAGUUGACCGCCUGGGGAGUACGAUCGCAAG